Molecule: transfer RNA, 74 nt
Filed under: Camelus bactrianus (Bactrian camel)
Lineage: Eukaryota; Metazoa; Chordata; Mammalia; Artiodactyla; Camelidae
Also listed under: 2 other names
Rfam family: tRNA
About the family: Transfer RNA (tRNA) molecules are approximately 80 nucleotides in length. Their secondary structure includes four short double-helical elements and three loops (D, anti-codon, and T loops). Further hydrogen bonds mediate the characteristic L-shaped molecular structure. tRNAs have two regions of fundamental functional importance: the anti-codon, which is responsible for specific mRNA codon recognition, and the 3' end, to which the tRNAs corresponding amino acid is attached (by aminoacyl-tRNA synthetases). tRNAs cope with the degeneracy of the genetic code in two manners: having more than one tRNA (with a specific anti-codon) for a particular amino acid; and 'wobble' base-pairing, i.e. permitting non-standard base-pairing at the 3rd anti-codon position.
Source: Rfam by way of RNAcentral
GGAAGAGUACAGCUCAGGGGUAGAGUGUGUGCUUAGCAUGCACGAGGUCCUGGGUUCAAUCCCCAGUCCCUCCA